GGUUAUUAAGGUUUUGAAAAGGGGUAGAAGGUUAAAUGGGUUGGAGGUUAUUAGAUCUUUGAAAUGGGGAAGUAGGUCACAUGGGUAUUUAUUUCGAAGGGGUAGUGGGUGAUAGCAGAAACUGUCAGCGAAACUCACGAAGGAACAACGGCGACAACGAAAAAGCGAAACCUUUCGAGAAAAGACGCCAACGGUAGACCCAAGCGAGACUUCCUCCGAGCACUUCAAUGGCGGACAGUGAUAUACGACUUCCU
This 254-nucleotide long non-coding RNA is filed under the name Vigna radiata. Its description in RNAcentral is "long non-coding RNA (VRAD_LNC001376)". The record is from RNAcentral. Lineage: Eukaryota; Viridiplantae; Streptophyta; Magnoliopsida; Fabales; Fabaceae.